UAGGGAAUCUUCCACAAUGGGCGAAGCCUGAUGGAGCAACGCCGCGUGUGUGAUGAAGGCUUUCGGUCGUAAAGCACUGUUGUAUGGGAAGAACAGCUAGAAUAGGAAAUGAUUUUAGUUUGACGGUACCAUACCAGAAAGGGACGGCUAAAUACGUGCCAA
RNAcentral lists this ribosomal RNA (162 nucleotides) under uncultured bacterium. RNAcentral describes it as "partial 16S rRNA". It matches the Rfam family "Bacterial small subunit ribosomal RNA", at positions 355 to 511 of the family's 1533-position model. The record is from RNAcentral.